UCCGAGUUGACCCCGGCAGUCUUCGAUGAGUCCCCGGCAUAACCCGCUGGCAACAUCGAACGAGGGUUGCGCUCGUUGCGGGACUUAACCCAACAUCUCACGACACGAGCUGACGACAGCCAUGCAGCACCUGUGUGUCAGUCACCGAAGUGAAGGAACCCAUCUCUGGGAACCGUCCGACCAUGUCAAGGGCUGGUAAGGUUCUUCGCGUUGCUUCGAAUUAAACCACGUGCUCCACCGCUUGUGCGGGCCCCCGUCAAUUCCUUUAAGUUUUAGCCUUGCGGCCGUACUCCCCAGGCGGGGCACUUAAUGCGUUAGCUUCGGCACGGAGGGAGUCGACACCCCCCACACCUAGUGCCCAUCGUUUACGGCGUGGACUAC
RNAcentral lists this unclassified non-coding RNA (381 nucleotides) under uncultured bacterium. RNAcentral describes it as "contains 16S-23S intergenic spacer region". The record is from RNAcentral.